CCUACGGGAGGCAGCAGUGGGGAAUAUUGCACAAUGGGGGAAACCCUGAUGCAGCGACGCCGCGUGAGUGAAGAAGUAUUUCGGUAUGUAAAGCUCUAUCAGCAGGGAAGAAAAAAGACGGUACCUGACUAAGAAGCCCCGGCUAACUACGUGCCAGCAGCCGCGGUAAUACGUAGGGGGCAAGCGUUAUCCGGAAUUACUGGGUGUAAAGGGUGCGUAGGUGGCAUGGUAAGUCAGAAGUGAAAGCCCGGGGCUUAACCCCGGGACUGCUUUUGAAACUGUCAUGCUGGAGUGCAGGAGAGGUAAGCGGAAUUCCUAGUGUAGCGGUGAAAUGCGUAGAUAUUAGGAGGAACACCAGUGGCGAAGGCGACUUACUGGACUGUCACUGACACUGAUGCACGAAAGCGUGGGGAGCAAACAGGAUUAGAUACCCGGGUAGUC
RNAcentral lists this ribosomal RNA (441 nucleotides) under uncultured bacterium. Its description in RNAcentral is "partial 16S ribosomal RNA". It matches the Rfam family "Bacterial small subunit ribosomal RNA", at positions 338 to 795 of the family's 1533-position model. The record is from RNAcentral.